UGGGGAAUAUUGCACAAUGGGGGAAACCCUGAUGCAGCGAUGCCGCGUGGAGGAAGAAGGUUUUCGGAUUGUAAACUCCUGUCGAAGAGGACGAUAAUGACGGUACUCUUCAAGAAAGCUCCGGCUAACUACGUGCCAGCAGCCGCGGUAAUACGUAGGGAGCAAGCGUUGUCCGGAUUUACUGGGUGUAAAGGGUGCGUAGGCGGCUUUGCAAGUCAGAUGUGAAAUCUAUGGGCUCAACCCAUAAACUGCAUUUGAAACUGUAGAGCUUGAGUGAAGUAGAGGCAGGCGGAAUUCCCCGUGUAGCGGUGAAAUGCGUAGAGAUGGGGAGGAACACCAGUGGCGAAGGCGGCCUGCUGGGCUUUAACUGACGCUGAGGCACGAAAGCGUGGGUAGCAAACAGGAUUAGAUACCCUGGUAGUCCACGCUGUAAACGAUGAUUACUAGGUGUGGGGGGUCUGACCCCUUCCGUGCCGGAGUUAACACAAUAAGUAAUCCACCUGGGGAGUACGGCCGCAAGGUUGAAACUCAAAGGAAUUGACGGGGGCCCGCACAAGCAGUGGAGUAUGUAGUUUAAUUCGAAGCAACGCGAAGAACCUUACCAGGUCUUGACAUCCAACUAACGAAGUAGAGAUACAUUAGGUGCCCUUCGGGGAAAGUUGAGACAGGUGGUGCAUGGUUGUCGUCAGCUCGUGUCGUGAGAUGUUGGGUUAAGUCCCGCAACGAGCGCAACCCUUGCUAUUAGUUGCUACGCAAGAGCACUCUAAUAGGACUGCCGUUGACAAAACGGAGGAAGGUGGGGACGACGUCAAAUCAUCAUGCCCCUUAUGACCUGGGCUACACACGUACUACAAUGGAUGUUAACAGAGGGAAGCAAGACAGCGAUGUGGAGCAAACCCCUAAAAACAUUCUCAGUUCAGAUUGCAGGCUGCAACCCGCCUGCAUGAAGAUGGAAUUGCUAGUAAUCGCGGAUCAGCAUGCCGCGGUGAAUACGUUCCC
RNAcentral lists this ribosomal RNA (999 nucleotides) under uncultured bacterium. RNAcentral describes it as "bacterial SSU rRNA". It matches the Rfam family "Bacterial small subunit ribosomal RNA", at positions 355 to 1375 of the family's 1533-position model. The record is from RNAcentral.